AGAGUUUGAUCCUGGCUCAGGAUGAACGCUAGCGGCAGGCUUAAUACAUGCAAGUCGUGGGGCAGCGCAGUGUAGCAAUACAUGGGCGGCGACCGGCAAACGGGUGCGGAACACGUACACAACCUUCCUACAAGUGGGGAAUAGCCCAGAGAAAUUUGGAUUAAUACCCCGUAACAUAUAAAGAUGGCAUCAUUUUUAUAUUAUAGCUACGGCGCUUGUUGAUGGGUGUGCGGCUGAUUAGGUAGUUGGCGGGGUAAUGGCCCACCAAGCCUGCGAUCAGUAGCUGAUGUGAGAGCAUGAUCAGCCACACGGGCACUGAGACACGGGCCCGACUCCUACGGGAGGCAGCAGUAAGGAAUAUUGGACAAUGGGCGCAAGCCUGAUCCAGCCAUGCCGCGUGAAGGAUUAAGGUCCUCUGGAUUGUAAACCUCUUUUAUAAGGGACGAAAAAAGGGAAUUCUUUCUCACUUGACGGUACCUUAUGAAUAAGCACCGGCUAACUCCGUGCCAGCAGCCGCGGUAAUACGGAGGGUGCAAGCGUUAUCCGGAUUCACUGGGUUUAAAGGGUGCGUAGGCGGGUAUUUAAGUCAGUGGUGAAGUCCUAGAGCUUAACUCUAGAACUGCCAUUGAUACUAUUUAUCUUGAAUAUUGUGGAGGUAAGCGGAAUAUGUCAUGUAGCGGUGAAAUGCUUAGAUAUGACAUAGAACACCUAUUGCGAAGGCAGCUUACUACGCAUAUAUUGACGCUGAGGCACGAAAGCGUGGGGAUCAAACAGGAUUAGAUACCCUGGUAGUCCACGCCCUAAACGAUGGAUACUCGACAUACGCGAUACACUGUGUGUGUCUGAGCGAAAGCAUUAAGUAUCCCACCUGGGAAGUACGACCGCAAGGUUGAAACUCAAAGGAAUUGACGGG
This 913-nucleotide ribosomal RNA is filed under the name uncultured bacterium. Its description in RNAcentral is "bacterial SSU rRNA". It matches the Rfam family "Bacterial small subunit ribosomal RNA", at positions 8 to 917 of the family's 1533-position model. The record is from RNAcentral.